Molecule: transfer RNA, 88 nt
Filed under: Rickettsiales bacterium
Lineage: Bacteria; Pseudomonadati; Pseudomonadota; Alphaproteobacteria; Rickettsiales
Description: tRNA-Leu
Rfam family: tRNA
About the family: Transfer RNA (tRNA) molecules are approximately 80 nucleotides in length. Their secondary structure includes four short double-helical elements and three loops (D, anti-codon, and T loops).
Source: RNAcentral
GCUCGCGUGAUGGAAUUGGUAGACAUAACGGACUUAAAAUCCGUAGGCAAUGAUUGCCGUGCCGGUUCAAGUCCGGCCGCGAGUACCA